Molecule: non-coding RNA, 25 nt
Filed under: Mus musculus (house mouse)
Lineage: Eukaryota; Metazoa; Chordata; Mammalia; Rodentia; Muridae
Source: RNAcentral
UGCAAUGCUGGUGCCUCGGUCUUCC